AUUUUGAGUGUUGCUAUUUAGUUAGCUCAUUCGUAAUACAUUAGCAUCUCAAUUUCGUAAUCGGAUUGACUCAGCGUAAUAGACUAUUCGCUGAGGACACCAUUUUGGUGGCCGAGACAUGAAAGAGUGGAAGCUUCAAACCCCUCCUAGUCAUUUUUAGAUUAGACCUCAGAUCAGGCAGGAUUACCCGCUGAACUUAA
Molecule: unclassified non-coding RNA, 200 nt
Filed under: Basidiomycota sp.
Lineage: Eukaryota; Fungi; Basidiomycota
Also listed under: 1 other name
Description: partial contains internal transcribed spacer 2 and large subunit ribosomal RNA
Source: RNAcentral